GAUACUUUUAUGGUGUGUGGAGCAUACGAACGUGAUCAAAUCUGAGUGAGAGACUGACUGAGGAUCAAAUACACGAUGACAUGCCACGGUGACAUAUGUGUCUUCUUCUGUGAAAACGCACACCUGCACUAGACAUUACCGAAGAAUGAAGUGUCCUCAGUGCAGUUAUGUGUCUUUGGAAAAGGCACCAAACUUCUGCAGUCGGUGUGGCUGUAAGCUGUCAUGUCAAUCAAUUGAGACAACAGCAGACAAGCCACAAGACAAGUUUCAAACAUCCUCAAACAUUCCACACAGUACUGAUGCAGAAAUGACUGAUAUCAGACGUGAAUCAGAAGCAUUGGACUACCAGAAUGCCAAUCUAUCUCCAAAACGACAAAAUGAAGAUAAAAUCCCUAUCCCAAAGAAAAAGAAAAGAAAGAAGAAGAAAAAAGCAGGUGGUGCAGAGGGCCCUUCAUCUCUGACCUCAGAUCUCUCUGAUAUAUCGCUGACUGAAAAAGAAAAGAAAAUGGAGGAAGACCAAUCUUCUGACAGUGAUGGCUCUUACUGCACUGUAGAUGACAUGCCUAAACCGGCUGAAUCAUCCUCUCAUCUGAGCCUACCAGAAACUGAAACUGCUGAGCUAAAACAGCAUGCUGUCUCGGCUUUACCCAUAGAUGCUGCUUUAAGUCAGUCUGAUGAGCAGCCUAAUAGUAGCAAAGAGAGAUGUGUAGCACCUGAAACGACAGAAACAUCUAAGUUGCAGUUGACCCAAGAGCUGAUCAGCAUUAGCACUGACAAAGCUUCUCCAGCAGUGACCAUGGAAGUAAAUCAGAAAGAUGAAGAAGAUAAAGAAAAAUCUGAAAAUAAAGGACAAAAGAGUGUGUCUAAAAGAAAACAAACUACUCUAGAUCGAGAUGGUGAUAUGGACCGGAAUGCAAACAUAAAGAGCAGCACAGGAAAUCAAAGAGAGACCGAUGAUCAUGUUGUGGGAGCACUGAACAACCACAGCUCCAGUGGAGAUUUACCAGUGAAGGUUGAGCAGAGUCAGAAGCUGCAGUCUGCAUGUACCGGCCAGAAGAAUACAGCAUCUGAAAAACAAAAUAAAAGUGAGGAAGCAGAAACCAGUGAAGGCAAACAGCAUGUCUCAUUUCCUACAACGAAAAAAAAUCAAAAUCAGAAACCGCAGAAUUCAACACAGGACAUGGUGUUUGGCCCACAGAAUAAACCUAAGAAGAAUCACGAUUCCAGUGGCGAUUCUUCAGUGAAGGUUGAACACAGUCAGAAGCCGCAGUCUGCUUGUACAGGCCAGAAGAAUACAGCAUCUGAGAAACAAAAUAAAAGUGAGGAAGCAGAAGCCGGUGAAGGCAAACAGCAUGUCUCAUUUCCUACAACGAAAAAAAAUCAAAAUCAGAAACCGCAGAAUUCAACACAGG
Cyprinus carpio carpio is the source of this 1412-nucleotide long non-coding RNA. NCBI's taxonomy places the organism in Eukaryota, Metazoa, Chordata, Actinopteri, Cypriniformes, Cyprinidae. The record is from Ensembl.